RNAcentral lists this long non-coding RNA (447 nucleotides) under Brassica napus (rape). RNAcentral describes it as "long non-coding RNA (BNAP_LNC019476)". The record is from RNAcentral. Lineage: Eukaryota; Viridiplantae; Streptophyta; Magnoliopsida; Brassicales; Brassicaceae.
GUCCGGGCAAUAGAUAGUAUAAAAAUACGGAAGUUGAUCGGCUAUUCUUUAAGUUUGAGUUCUAGAAUAUCCAACAUACACUUAGUCUCUAUAUCUCUAUAAUCCUGAUGGUCUGAAUAAAAACCCUAAGUCUAACGUCUUUCAUAUCUAUUUCAAAACCUCAAUCAAUCUACCGAGCAACUACCUUGCUCACCACUGCUAUUUACAUUUAAACCAUUUGACCUAGCUUAAUCACAUAACUAUAGAUCUUUUGUGUGCGCUAGCUCCCUGUGAAUUCGAUCCCUAAGGCUACAACUCGACCUUUUAUUUGAGAGAAUAAAUCACUCAUUAGGGUAAUUUGAGUGAUAUCACUUAGCUUGAGGAUAGAUCUUACUCACCGCAUUCGAUAGGCAGACCGCCCUAUCGGAUAUUAUUGCUAGAGUAGGAGAAUCCCCAAGAAUCCUCUCA